RNAcentral lists this ribosomal RNA (465 nucleotides) under Vreelandella stevensii. RNAcentral's name for it is "partial 16S ribosomal RNA". It matches the Rfam family "Bacterial small subunit ribosomal RNA", at positions 338 to 795 of the family's 1533-position model. The record is from RNAcentral. Lineage: Bacteria; Pseudomonadati; Pseudomonadota; Gammaproteobacteria; Oceanospirillales; Halomonadaceae.
CCUACGGGGUGCAGCAGUGGGGAAUAUUGGACAAUGGGCGAAAGCCUGAUCCAGCCAUGCCGCGUGUGUGAAGAAGGCCUUCGGGUUGUAAAGCACUUUCAGUGGGGAAGAAAGCCUUGGGGCUAAUACCCUCGAGGAAGGACAUCACCCACAGAAGAAGCACCGGCUAACUCCGUGCCAGCAGCCGCGGUAAUACGGAGGGUGCGAGCGUUAAUCGGAAUUACUGGGCGUAAAGCGCGCGUAGGCGGUCUGAUAAGCCGGUUGUGAAAGCCCCGGGCUCAACCUGGGAACGGCAUCCGGAACUGUCAGGCUAGAGUGCAGGAGAGGAAGGUAGAAUUCCCGGUGUAGCGGUGAAAUGCGUAGAGAUCAGGAGGAAUACCAGUGGCGAAGGCGGCCUUCUGGACUGACACUGACGCUGAGGUGCGAAAGCGUGGGUAGCAAACAGGAUUAGAUACCCCGGUAGUC